ACUAGAGUAGCACUCGCAUAUCAAUAAGCGGAGGAAAAGAAACUAACAAGGAUUCCCCUAGUAACGGCGAGUGAAGCGGGAAGAGCUCAAAUUUGAAAUCUUAAAGGGUUUCCCUUUACGAAUUGUAGUUUAAAGAAGUGUUUUCUGUUGAGGUUUUGGUAAAAGUUCCUUGGAAUAGGACAUCAUAGAGGGUGAGAAUCCCGUAUUUGACCUUUACUUUCAACUUUGUGAUACACUUUCAAAGAGUCGGAUUGUUUGGGAAUGCAGUCCAAAAUGGGUGGUAAAUUUCAUCUAAAGCUAAAUAUUGGCGAGAGACCGAUAGCGAACUAUGUACCGUGAGGGAAAGAUGAAAAGAACUUUGAAAAGAGAGUUAAACAGUACGUGAAAUUGUCAAAAGGGAAGCGUUUGACACCAGUGUUGUUUUUCUGAAAAUCAAUUAAAGAACUGUUUAUGCUAAGUUGUUUAGACUUUAUCAGCUAACUGUUUAGUUUUGAGCUUUUCUUUAAUGCACUUUUCAGUUAACAAGUCAACAUCAAUUUCUUUUGCUGUAAAAAAGCUUGAGGAAGGUGGCUUGAGAUUCGUCUUAAGUGUUUAUAGCCUCUUGCCUAUGCAGUCGGAGAGAUUGAGGUCUGCAGCGUAGAUCCUUCGGGGCUAAAUGCAUUUGUGCUAAGUUAUAGCAUUUUAUAGACAACUUGUUGACUAUGAUUUGUCUUGUAGCUUACUCGCUUAUGUUAUUUUACCUACGCUUAGGAUGUUGAUAUCGCGCUCUCACUG
RNAcentral lists this ribosomal RNA (774 nucleotides) under uncultured Neocallimastigales. Its description in RNAcentral is "partial large subunit ribosomal RNA". It matches the Rfam family "Eukaryotic large subunit ribosomal RNA", at positions 20 to 643 of the family's 3401-position model. Lineage: Eukaryota; Fungi; Neocallimastigomycota; Neocallimastigomycetes; Neocallimastigales. The record is from RNAcentral.